CGGGUAAGACUAAGCUUUCCCUUCGGGGACAGCGGUGACAGGUGGUGCAUGGUUGUCGUCAGCUCGUGUCGUGAGAUGUUGGGUUAAGUCCCGCAACGAGCGCAACCCUUGAUCUUAGUUGCCAGCAUUCAGUUGGGCACUCUAAGGUGACUGCCGGUGACAAACCGGAGGAAGGUGGGGAUGACGUCAAAUCAUCAUGCCCCUUAUGACCUGGGCUACACACGUGCUACAAUGGACGGUACAAAGGGCUGCCAACCCGCGAGGGGGAGCCAAUCCCAGAAAACCGUUCUCAGUUCGGAUUGCAGGCUGCAACUCGCCUGCAUGAAGCCGGAAUCGCUAGUAAUUGUGGAUCAGCAUUCCACGGUGAAUACGUUCCCGGGCCUUGUACACACCGCCCGUCACACCACGAGAGUUUGUAACACCCGAAGUCGGUGAGGUAACCACUUGUGGAGCCAGCCGCCGAAGGUGGGACGGAUGAUUGGGGUGAAGUCGAAACAAGGUAGCCGUAUCGGAAGGUGCGGCUGGAUCACCCCCGUCGACGCGGCCG
This 547-nucleotide ribosomal RNA is filed under the name uncultured bacterium. RNAcentral describes it as "bacterial SSU rRNA". It matches the Rfam family "Bacterial small subunit ribosomal RNA", at positions 998 to 1533 of the family's 1533-position model. The record is from RNAcentral.